Rhincodon typus (whale shark) is the source of this 367-nucleotide long non-coding RNA. RefSeq lists it as uncharacterized. Lineage: Eukaryota; Metazoa; Chordata; Chondrichthyes; Orectolobiformes; Rhincodontidae. The transcript has 2 exons. The record is from RefSeq and is a predicted model, not a curated record.
UGGUGAGGUCAUUUGCAGUGAGCGGGGCUAAUGCAGAAAGAAGCCCCUAGUUCUCUCUGUCUGUGUGUGUGUGUGAUUCGCGGUGCUGUGCUCUCCAUCUCCUCCAUCAGUGUGUUUACAGCUUAUAAACAUGUCAGUGCGCAACCUAUUGGCUGGAGGAUUCAAAACUGAGCGCUUCCUUUUCGUAUUUACAUCUUUCGAAGAAAUAAUUCCUGAUUUGUGGAUGGUGGUCCCAUGAUGCGCUUGAAGUCUUCAACUAUCAGUUGAUUAUCUUCCUGUUGUAUAACUAUACUGCAUAUCUUAUGGAAUCUAAACAUAUUUCUCCAUUUUUGUGACUAAAUGUAAUAAAUUUACAUGCAUUUCUAAA